RNA transcript from Lactuca sativa (garden lettuce), 1568 nucleotides. RefSeq lists it as uncharacterized. NCBI's taxonomy places the organism in Eukaryota, Viridiplantae, Streptophyta, Magnoliopsida, Asterales, Asteraceae. The record is from RefSeq and is a predicted model, not a curated record.
UUCAAUUUUCAUAUACUGUUAAAAGGCACUGAAGAAGACGACAUUCCAUGUCAAAAAAAAAAAUCUUCAAAUCCAACUGUCAAUGAGGAAUCUAUCCAACCAAAUCAAUUAAACUAGAGCGUCAUCGUGACAAAGAUCCUUACCCUUAGAUUCAAUUUCUCAUUCAUCUUCCUUUGCAUCUCAAUUUCCAUUUACCACUUCAACAACCCAUCAGAAAACCAAACCCUAACCCUAACAACAUCACUACAACCACCACCACCACCGAUCACUCGCAAGAACUACAUUGUCAGAAUCAUUCAAUACAAGAAAGCGGAAGACCACAAGGCGUAUCUUGAGCACAACGCCAAUGAAGUACCGUACAACUCUUGUUCUUAGGAAUGGAUCAACAGAAACAACCCUGCUUCUAAAUUCCCCACAGAUUUCGGAGUCGUGUCUAUCGACGAUGACGUUGUUGAUUCGGUUUUUAGGAAGUUUGAGACACUGGAGAUGGUGAAAGAUGUUAGGGUUGAUUCGAGUUAGCAUUUAAGGAACUUGCUUAGUGGAAUGAAGAAGAAAAGGUAUAGGCGAGUUGGGGCGUUUGUAGAUGGGAGGAAGCGACUUGGGAAGAUCUUCACGUCGAUGUCGGUUACUGAUGGUGAAGGAACGCAAAAACUGGACAAAUGAGAAUUCAUUAAAUGAUAAUCUUGGACAUGGAAUAUUUGUUGCUGGUGAAAACACAGAAUGUUUAGGUUUUGCACCAGAUGCUGAGACAUAUGCUUUCCGUGCGUUUACAGAUGCAUAGCUUACUGUAGGUUUCAUACACAUCAUGGUUUCUUGAUACAUUCAACUAUGCAAUCGCAACCAACAUGGAUGUCUUAAAUUUGAUCAUUGGUGGCCCUAAUAACAUGGAUCUUCCAUUUUUAGGGAAAUUUUGGGAAUUAACAGCAAGCAACAUUUCUGUAAUUAGCAGUGAUGGACCAUAUUAUGUAACUUUAAACAACCCUGCUGAUCAAAGUGAUGUUAUUGGUGUUGGUGGUAUAGAUUACAGUUCCAGCAUUACUUCAUUUUCAUCACGUGGCAUGAACACUUAGGAGAUCCCUCAUGGGUAUACUAUAUUACCCUAGUUGGGGGAAGAAGAAGACCAUUCAUGUAAUAUAGGCCUUAGAAAGUUGUUCAUAAAAGGUCUUUUAGGGUAAAUUGACAAAAAUACCCUCAUGUGCAAGCCACAUGGGGGCAAGUUAACGUUGGUAUAGACGGACAUCCAACUCGGGGACUAUUCGCGUGCAACUUAAAGUCCGUCGGUAUCAUAUGAGGAAAAAAGUACCAUAGGGACUACUUUAGGAAAAAAACAAACCCUUAAGGACCAUUCGUGUAAUUUAGUCUUUUUAUUUUAUAGUAUAAUAGCUAUGGUCUAUGAUCUCGUAGGAAAUUCUGUACCGGCAUAACUAUAGAUUUUGACUAUGUAACAAAUGGUGUAGCUAGCUAGCUACAGACUUAGAUUCAGUAGCAAAUUUUGUAGAAAAAUAGCUACAUAUUUUGAUUCCGUAACAAUUUUUGUAGCAAAAUAACUAAAAACUUUGAUUUGUAGU